This is a long non-coding RNA of Xiphias gladius (swordfish), 446 nucleotides long. RefSeq lists it as uncharacterized. NCBI's taxonomy places the organism in Eukaryota, Metazoa, Chordata, Actinopteri, Istiophoriformes, Xiphiidae. The record is from RefSeq and is a predicted model, not a curated record. The transcript has 3 exons.
AUUUGGGCUACCUUUUUUACCACUAGGGCGGUUUCCCCACCCAAAAAGUUAGUCAAUAUUCCAGGGGUUUAGACUGAAAGGUGAGGCAAAGCUCAUCGGUCUCUACAUCGAAGGGCACUGCAUCAUUCUCCAAAUGAAAGCUGCUGGGCUCACUGCAUCCCACCCAGCCAAUAGGAGUGCGGUUGAAGGAAGGCCGACAGUCGAUCUCAUGUUGGUACACCACUGAGAGUUCAGGCUCCUGUUUGGUUGCCUCAGAGUCUGGUAGCUGGAAUUUCAGGAACUGGUUGGCCCUAUCGAAGCCGCCGUAGGGCAUGGCAGACCUAGCAAAGCAAGCUCCUUUUGCUCAACUGGAGGAGGCAUUGCCAUUUUCAGAGUGGCUAUCAGACUCUCAUCACCCUUCAUGGCCUUCUCCCAAGGCGACACAUACGUUUUCAAAUGAAUAUGCU